UUCUCCCCUGUAGUCCUUGAUUACGCUCUAGAAAUUCGCCGAAGUCGGCAGGGUAUGUAUGGCGCGUGUCUAAUCUGGUGCUGCGCGCGUCGAUGCGAUCCUGGGCCUUUCUGGUGGCGUUGUCUUUUCCGUUCGUUUCGUGGAUUUUCGGGAGGUGGGAGUGGAAAUGCAGUGUGCUUUGCACUUUCGCUAGUGAAUUUAAUCCGAGCGUUUCGUUCGUGCAUCAUCCUGUUCUCUCGAAGGCUGAAGUAGUCGGUGACUGUGGCGGAAGUGAAUGUCUAAUGACUCCUGUUUUUUUGGAUAGAUGGUGAUCGUAUCAUUUGAACCUACUUUGAGUCAUGAAUGUCAUUGGUGAAAUAGCUGGUGCUGUACUUUCUUGCUGAAUGUUUUCGGGUCAAUGGCUGUUAAAAGAGGUGAAAUUUCCACCCACUGUCUGUCUAGGUCUCUGGGUAAUAGAUAAGUGUUCUAUUUUGUGUAUUCAGGGGAAAGAACGGAGGGGCAAGCUUUCUUGACAUUUCAAUAAGUUGAACUUGCUUAUCAUGCUUUGGCAUGACUCCUGAAUGCUUUUUCUAUUUACAUCUGCUAGGCACGUGCAAUGAUGCAUCAUAUGAACAAUUCCUCAGCGUAUAUAGUAUGCUCAAUCUAUCAAACUUUGAAAGCUCCUGCAUCAUGCCAUAGGAUUUGGUGGACAGCUGUUGGUGUUGACACACUGCUCUGUAUCUUGAAAGGAUUCCAUCCAUCAUAAACAAAUUGUUCAUUGUAAUUUUUUUAAUCACACUAGUCUUGCAAGUUCUUCCAGAUAUGCAUUUUAAGUUUCCAAUUUUAUAAUUUGCAUGGUGUUGCGGAAACUGAAAACCUUCCCAUGAAAAGAUGGUCAUUCCCACAAAACGCAUAUUCUUUCACCACUGAUUUAGAUGUUAAAUAUGGCUGAUCUUUGAACCUCUUGUGCUGUCUUUUUAUAAGUUAUUUGUUGGAAAAAAAACUUUACAUUCUGGUUCAUGUGUAAGAAUGUCUUUCCACUCAUUGCUUCAAUUGAACUUUUGUGUUCCCACUGAAAUGGGUUUCCUUGUGAACUAUGAGAAUUAACAGAAAUUCUUAUUAUUGGAGCAAUUAUCUUGUUUUUUGUUCCAUUAUGUAUCUUUCUCCUUCAAAUAUGGCAGUCGGCAUCUAUAAAUGUAAGUUGAUAAGGACGGUGUUUCUAUAUAUCAGAUUUGGAAAGAGAAACCUUAACCUCCAUAACGAUGAUCAUUUUGUCUUCUAAUGUGGUGGUGGGCAACUUGUUAAGUGGAGGUUAUUAGCAAUUAGAACCUAAGUAGUCUUGUUAUUUUUUAAAGUACAUUGGGUGGUAACUUUGAUGCUUCAAAAAUAAAAAAUAAAAACAGCAGAAAGCUAUCUCUGAGAAUUUCGCUUUUAUACUUAUAUGCUUCUAUCCGCUAUGAUGGAUUGUGACAAGAACUCCAAUUGAUGCAGGGUAUUCCAUCAGCUUUUAUACAUCAUCUCUCUUCUGUCUUACUUGUGGCUAUAGGCACUACUUGAUAGUUUCAGCUGUUACCAAAUCUUAUUGGCGUUUGGUUUUUCAGAAACUUUGCUUGUAUUAAUAUAGCUCUUAGCAAGACAUUCUCUGUGAAAAAGAAGAAAGGAAAGCUCCGGAAGGCAUGGGAUGGGAGCAAAGUCAUCUUUAACGUAGCAUCCUGGGGGGCAACAGCCAUUGGGAUCUAUCAAAACCCAGUACUUCUCAGGGCUGCCUCAAAUGCCUUUUGGACUUCUUGUCAUGUUAUAUCAAAGCUUCUCUGAUCUUCACGAUCUGCCUGAAGAGGAGCUUAAUUAGUUCAUUCCAUGCCCGUGCAACCUGAUGUUGUCCACCUUGUUUGACAUUAGUGCAUUAAUUAGGCUUUCCAGUUUGAUUUAUUACCCUCUGGCGUCAUCAAAAUCGUGUAAAUGAGUAACUGUUCUAUAUUUCAAGUUUGGACACAAAUGCGAUGUAAAAAUUGUCUGCUAUUGAAUGCAGAACUGGUCUUACACCUUCUCUCA
Long non-coding RNA from Eucalyptus grandis, 2031 nucleotides. RefSeq lists it as uncharacterized. NCBI's taxonomy places the organism in Eukaryota, Viridiplantae, Streptophyta, Magnoliopsida, Myrtales, Myrtaceae. The transcript is spliced from 3 exons. The record is from RefSeq and is a predicted model, not a curated record.